CCUACGGGAGGCAGCAGUGGGGAAUUUUACGCAAUGGGGGAAACCCUGACGUAGCGACACCGCGUGAGCGAAGAAGCCCUCUGGGGUGUAAAGCUCUGUCAGCAGGGACGAAAAAAAUGACGGUACCUGCAGAGGAAGCAUCGGCUAACUACGUGCCAGCAGCCGCGGUAAGACGUAGGAUGCAAGCGUUGUCCGGAUUCAUUGGGCGUAAAGAGUUCGUAGGCGGUUUGUUAAGUCUGAUGUUAAAGAUCAGGGCCCAACCCUGAGAGUGCAUUGGAUACUGGCAGACUGGAGUGCAGUAGAGGCAAGUGGAAUUCCCAGUGUAGCGGUGAAAUGCGUAGAUAUUGGGAAGAACACCGGUGGCGCAGGCGACUUGCUGGGCUGUAACUGACGCUGAGGAACGAAAGCUAGGGGAGCAAAUGGGGUUAGAUACCCCAGUAGUCCUAGCUGUAAACGAUGGAUACUAGGCGUUGCAGGUAUCGACCCCUGCAGUGCCGCAGUUAACGCGAUAAGUAUCCCGCCUGAGUAGUACGGCCGCAAGGUUGAAACUCAAAGGAAUUGACGG
Molecule: ribosomal RNA, 565 nt
Filed under: uncultured bacterium
Lineage: Bacteria
Description: bacterial SSU rRNA
Rfam family: Bacterial small subunit ribosomal RNA
Source: RNAcentral